GAUGAACGCUGGCGGCGUGCCUAAUACAUGCAAGUCGAGCGAACAGAUGAGGAGCUUGCUUCUCUGAUGUUAGCGGCGGACGGGUGAGUAACACGUGGAUAACCUACCUAUAAGACUGGGAUAACUUCGGGAAACCGGAGCUAAUACCGGAUAAUAUUUUGAACCGCAUGGUUCAAUAGUGAAAGACGGUCUUGCUGUCACUUAUAGAUGGAUCCGCGCCGCAUUAGCUAGUUGGUAAGGUAACGGCUUACCAAGGCAACGAUGCGUAGCCGACCUGAGAGGGUGAUCGGCCACACUGGAACUGAGACACGGUCCAGACUCCUACGGGAGGCAGCAGUAGGGAAUCUUCCGCAAUGGGCGAAAGCCUGACGGAGCAACGCCGCGUGAGUGAUGAAGGUCUUCGGAUCGUAAAACUCUGUUAUUAGGGAAGAACAAAUGUGUAAGUAACUAUGCACGUCUUGACGGUACCUAAUCAGAAAGCCACGGCUAACUACGUG
RNAcentral lists this ribosomal RNA (497 nucleotides) under uncultured bacterium. Its description in RNAcentral is "partial 16S ribosomal RNA". It matches the Rfam family "Bacterial small subunit ribosomal RNA", at positions 28 to 507 of the family's 1533-position model. The record is from RNAcentral.